RNAcentral lists this ribosomal RNA (438 nucleotides) under uncultured bacterium. RNAcentral's name for it is "bacterial SSU rRNA". It matches the Rfam family "Bacterial small subunit ribosomal RNA", at positions 8 to 494 of the family's 1533-position model. The record is from RNAcentral.
AGAGUUUGAUCCUGGCUCAGAACGAACGCUGGCGGCAGGCUUAACACAUGCAAGUCGAGCGCCCAGCAAUGGGAGCGGCGGACGGGUGAAUAACGCGUGGGAAUAUGCCCUUUGGUACGGAACAACUCAGGGAAACUUGAGCUAAUACCGUAUGAGCCGGUAACGGGAAAGAUUUAUCGCCAAAGGAUUAGCCCGCGUCCGAUUAGCUUGUUGGUGAGGUAAUGGCUCACCAAGGCACCGAUCGGUAGCUGGUCUGAGAGGACGACCAGCCACACUGGGACUGAGACACGGCCCAGACUCCUACGGGAGGCAGCAGUGGGGAAUCUUGGACAAUGGGGGAAACCCUGAUCCAGCCAUGCCGCGUGAGUGAUGAAGGCCUUAGGGUUGUAAAACUCUUUCGACGGGGACGAUAAUGACGGUACCCGUAGAAGAAGCUCC